GGUUGUGGCUCAGUGGCAGAACGCUUGCCUCACAUGCGUGAGGCACUGGGUUCGAUCCUCAGCACCA
RNAcentral lists this transfer RNA (67 nucleotides) under Marmota monax (woodchuck). RNAcentral's name for it is "tRNA.Val". The record is from RNAcentral. Lineage: Eukaryota; Metazoa; Chordata; Mammalia; Rodentia; Sciuridae.